Molecule: ribosomal RNA, 465 nt
Filed under: uncultured bacterium
Lineage: Bacteria
Description: partial 16S ribosomal RNA
Rfam family: Bacterial small subunit ribosomal RNA
Source: RNAcentral
GACGAACGCUGGCGGCGUGCUUAACACAUGCAAGUCGAACGGAAAGGCCCUGCUUGCAGGGUACUCGAGUGGCGAACGGGUGAGUAACACGUGGGUGAUCUGCCCUGCACUUCGGGAUAAGCCUGGGAAACUGGGUCUAAUACCGGAUAGGAGCCAUUUUUAGGGUGAGGGUGGGAAAGUUUUUUCGGUGUAGGAUGAGCUCGCGGCCUAUCAGCUUGUUGGUGGGGUAAUGGCCUACCAAGGCGGCGACGGGUAGCCGGCCUGAGAGGGUGGACGGCCACAUUGGGACUGAGAUACGGCCCAGACUCCUACGGGAGGCAGCAGUGGGGAAUAUUGCACAAUGGGCGCAAGCCUGAUGCAGCGACGCCGCGUGGGGGAUGACGGCCUUCGGGUUGUAAACUCCUUUCGCUAGGGACGAAGCUUUUUGUGACGGUACCUAGAUAAGAAGCACCGGCUAACUACGUG